This 855-nucleotide long non-coding RNA is filed under the name Homo sapiens (human). Its description in RNAcentral is "HSALNT0404437". Lineage: Eukaryota; Metazoa; Chordata; Mammalia; Primates; Hominidae. The record is from RNAcentral.
UAGAGAGGUUAUUUGGGCCAAGUUUGAAGAUUGCAACCCGGGAGCAUAGCUUCAAGUUGCCCUGAACAUAGGAUUUGCAACAGUGACAAAGGUGAGGCCAGAGAAGUGACAAGACAGAUGCCAGUCCAGCAGGUGGGCAUGUCCAGAAAGUGCAGCCUCAGGACACGGUCUGGGAACAAAGACUGCUGGAGAGUUGGAAGCUGGCAAGAGGCUCUCAGCUGUGAAGUACCUGGGGUGGGGGAGAAGUGGUCGGAGAAAGCAGAGAACACAAUUGAAGGCACUGGUUAUUCUAGCAAGGCUUUGACUGGAAUGGCAUAUUUUCAGAUAUGACCAGACUGCUCUGAGGAAUUCAGGUUGGCUUUAUAGAGUCAAUAAAAAGCUACCUGGAAAGAGUGGCCAUGUACCUUAUCUAUACAGUUCCCUUACAAGGUUCCUGAUCUUGAGACAUUUGGCUUCACUUGAACCUGUGUUUGAAGCUUUAGUGAACAUUGUCUUUGGGAGUAAGAAGUACUAGAAAAUUUAUGGUCUCAUGGAACAAGGAAAUCAAAAAAACACCCGCCCGUGCACAAAUGGAUUUCCUGAACCCUUCUGUGCGCCAGUCCUUGGGGACGCAAAUGUGAAUGAGGCGGCGCUCUGUUGAAUUUCCGUGCCCAAACUCACCAACGUGCACAGAUACUGAUGUGGGAACACCCGCUAUAAGGUGGCCUGGAGCAGUGAAGACCCUGCUCUCUUGUGAACUCCCGCAACCAUGGCCAGCCCCCUGGGGCUCCCAGACCUUGGCAAUCAGCCCUUGUGGUUUUUAAAAAAUUUAUUUUUAUUUUUAUUUUUAGAGGCAGGGUCUCAUUAUGUCACCCA